This 400-nucleotide long non-coding RNA is filed under the name Apteryx owenii (little spotted kiwi). RNAcentral describes it as "lncRNA (ENSAOWG00000002191.1)". Lineage: Eukaryota; Metazoa; Chordata; Aves; Apterygiformes; Apterygidae. The record is from RNAcentral.
CACCACUCGGUUUUCGGCAGGGACGCUCCGAAGUCCCAAGCCCAAGUUGCUUUCCUGGUUUGGAAAUGUUAUUUUUACUUUGGAUGAGUUCCCUACAAGAGUUCACCAUUCAGCUGUACAAACAGCUACAUGGCAGAACAGAGAGAACAGAGCGGGAGUUCAGCGCUUUGAAACAAUGAGAGCACCAGCGUGGACUGUUUAAGAUUUGCUUACAAUUGACCAUUAAUGAGGGGCAGAAUCAGUUUGGCUGAAGUUUCACAGACAAAAAGCGUCAGAGCAGGAGACUCCCAGCUUCUGACUCCAGCUCUACUGAACAGAUCGUAUUAAAGGAAUCACAGUCAAGUCAUAAACACAAGAAGACAGAACAAAAUUAAAUUUUAAUCUUUAUGUAAAAAAGGAU